UCAUGAUCUCGUCGUUGGUAAUCUUUAUGGAAAGACGUAAGAGUUGUAAUUUCUCCCUCGUGUGCGUGGACAAUCGACGAUAACGUUGAUUCACAUACAGGAUGGACAAUAUCGUAUCUGGUCAGCGCCGGCGCCGAUGUGUGAAGAGAAGGUGGUGCGAAGCGAGUGAAACUAAAUACGCAAAUAAGGACGACGGGGGAGAGGGUGCGAACUUGUGUGCUUUCGUGACGCGAUAUGGCAGAUAAGCGAUCGUCGUUAGACGACAUCGAUGGCGAGGCAAGAUACGCGAUGUGGUAUUAAUAAAGGAAGAGCUUACGUAAAAAGACAUCUCUUUUUUUCUCUAACCUACUCUCAAGCUUGGACUUGCCUGCAAGGGCAUCUCGAUGCCGGCCUGCCAUUCUCCACUCUGUAUCUUGGACGAAAUCUUUUCCUGCUCGAUGUUCACUAUGUACAUGACCAUCUUAAAGUCCGCACCGUGCUCCC
This is a long non-coding RNA of Cataglyphis hispanica, 483 nucleotides long. RefSeq lists it as uncharacterized. The record is from RefSeq and is a predicted model, not a curated record. The transcript is spliced from 3 exons. NCBI's taxonomy places the organism in Eukaryota, Metazoa, Arthropoda, Insecta, Hymenoptera, Formicidae.